GACGUGCUUGCACUGAAUGAGAUUUUAACACGAAGUGAGUGGCGGACGGGUGAGUAACACGUGGGUAACCUGCCCAGAAGCAGGGGAUAACACCUGGAAACAGAUGCUAAUACCGUAUAACAGAGAAAACCGCCUGGUUUUCUUUUAAAAGAUGGCUCUGCUAUCACUUCUGGAUGGACCCGCGGCGCAUUAGCUAGUUGGUGAGGUAACGGCUCACCAAGGCGAUGAUGCGUAGCCGACCUGAGAGGGUAAUCGGCCACAUUGGGACUGAGACACGGCCCAGACUCCUACGGGAGGCAGCAGUAGGGAAUCUUCCACAAUGGACGCAAGUCUGAUGGAGCAACGCCGCGUGAGUGAAGAAGGGUUUCGGCUCGUAAAGCUCUGUUGUUAAAGAAGAACGUGGGUGAGAGUAACUGUUCACCCAGUGACGGUAUUUAACCAGAAAGCCACGGCUAACUACGUGCCAGCAGCCGCGGUAAUACGUAGGUGGCAAGCGUUAUCCGGAUUUAUUGGGCGUAAAGCGAGCGCAGGCGGUCUUUUAAGUCUAAUGUGAAAGCCUUCGGCUCAACCGAAGAAGUGCAUUGGAAACUGGGAGACUUGAGUGCAGAAGAGGACAGUGGAACUCCAUGUGUAGCGGUGAAAUGCGUAGAUAUAUGGAAGAACACCAGUGGCGAAGGCGGCUGUCUGGUCUGUAACUGACGCUGAGGCUCGAAAGCAUGGGUAGCGAACAGGAUUAGAUACCCUGGUAGUCCAUGCCGUAAACGAUGA
Molecule: ribosomal RNA, 768 nt
Filed under: Pediococcus acidilactici
Lineage: Bacteria; Bacillati; Bacillota; Bacilli; Lactobacillales; Lactobacillaceae
Description: bacterial SSU rRNA
Rfam family: Bacterial small subunit ribosomal RNA
Source: RNAcentral